This 357-nucleotide transfer RNA is filed under the name uncultured Microcystis sp. RNAcentral describes it as "partial 16S-23S ribosomal RNA intergenic spacer". The stretch from base 133 to 206 matches the Rfam family "tRNA". Lineage: Bacteria; Bacillati; Cyanobacteriota; Cyanophyceae; Chroococcales; Microcystaceae. The record is from RNAcentral.
AAGGGAGACCUAAUUCGGGUAGAAGACGAAAAAAUAGUAGUCGAAACCAAGAAUCAAUCCCAAAAGGUCGGAACGAGGUAUGCGGCUUUCAAACUAGGUUCUGGGUUCACAAAAGACCUGAAUCAGGAACAAGGGCUAUUAGCUCAGGUGGUUAGAGCGCACCCCUGAUAAGGGUGAGGUCCCUGGUUCGAGUCCAGGAUGGCCCACCUGCACAGGUGGCAAAAACAAGAGAAACGAGGAAUCAGCACCUUAUCUUACUUACAUAGUAAGAGAGAAUACUGGCUCUGAGUAAAGAGUCCAGAGGAACCUUGAAAACUGCAUAGAGCUAGGUGAAAAAGCCAAAAAAGAAGACCGCAA